Molecule: ribosomal RNA, 843 nt
Filed under: uncultured archaeon
Lineage: Archaea
Description: bacterial SSU rRNA
Rfam family: Archaeal small subunit ribosomal RNA
Source: RNAcentral
CUGCUAUCGGGAUAGGACUAAGACAUGCUAGUCGAGUGGCUCACCCAAUACGAGCCACGGCAUACAGCUCAGUAACACGUGGCUAAUCUGCCCUUAGGACGAGAACAACCCCGGGAAACUGGGGCUAACUCUCGAUAGGUGAAGAACACUGGAAUGUGUCUUCACCUAAAAAGUCCAGCGUUAUGCUCGUUGGAUCGCCCAAGGAUGAGGCCGCGACCGAUCAGGUUGUUGGUGAGGUAAUGGCUCACCAAGCCUUUUACCGGUGCGGGCCGUGGGAGCGGGAGCCCGGAGAUGGGCACUGAGACAAGGGCCCAGGCCCUACGGGGCGCAGCAGUCGCGAAAACUUUGCAAUAAGCGAAAGCUUGACAGGGCUAUCCCGAGUGCCAUCCGCUGAGGAAGGCUUUUACCCAGUCUAGAACGCUGGGGGAAUAAGGAGAGGGCAAGUCUGGUGUCAGCCGCCGCGGUAAUACCAGCUCUCCGAGUGGUGUGGAUGUUUAUUGGGCCUAAAGCAUCCGUAGCUGGCUAAGUUAGUCCCUUGUUAAAUCCACCGAAUUAAUCGUUGGAUUGCGGGGGAUACUGCUUGGCUAGGGGACGAGAGAGGCAGACGGUAUUUUCGGGGUAGGGGUGAAAUCCUAUAAUCCCGGGAAGACCACCAGUGGCGAAGGCUGUCUGCUAGAACGCGCCCGACGGUGAGGGAUGAAAGCUGGGGGAGCGAACCGGAUUAGAUACCCGGGUAGUCCCAGCUGUAAACGAUGCAGGCUAGGUGUUUGGACGGCCACGUGCCGUUCUAGUGCCGCAGGGAAGCUGUUAAGCCUGCCGCCUGGGGAGUACGAUCGCAAGAUU